AACGAACGCUGGCGGCAUGCCUAACACAUGCAAGUCGAACGAGACCUUCGGGUCUAGUGGCGCACGGGUGCGUAACGCGUGGGAACCUGCCCUUAGGGUCGGAAUAACUCCCCGAAAGGGGUGCUAAUACCGGAUAAUGUCUUCGGACCAAAGAUUUAUCGCCUUUGGAUGGGCCCGCGUUGGAUUAGCUAGUUGGUAGGGUAAAAGCCUACCAAGGCGACGAUCCAUAGCUGGUCUGAGAGGAUGAUUAGCCACACUGGGACUGAGACACGGCUCGGACUCCUACGGGAGGCAGCAGUGGGGAAUAUUGGACAAUGGGCGAAAGCCUGAUCCAGCAAUGCCGCGUGAGUGAUGAAGGCCUUAGGGUUGUAAAGCUCUUUUAACCGGGAUGAUAAUGACAGUACCGGGAGAAUAAGCCCCGGCUAACUCCGUG
Molecule: ribosomal RNA, 433 nt
Filed under: uncultured bacterium
Lineage: Bacteria
Description: partial 16S ribosomal RNA
Rfam family: Bacterial small subunit ribosomal RNA
Source: RNAcentral